CGGUCAGAGAAUUGAGAGAGAGAGAGAGAGAGGAGACCGAGAAAAUAGAGAAGAUAUGGAGUUCAGAGAAGACACGACGGUCGGUCACCACCACCGGAGUCAUGCCUCACCGUCGCUAUUAAGCUUGAAAGUGUGAAGCUUUGACUUGAUUCUUAAUAAACUUAAUGGAUUUCAUGAGUUUUAUCACCUCGUGAUCACCAAUCUAUCUACAUUCUUGGGUUUGUUGUUUGUUUGCUGCUGUUUUCACUGUUAGUGGGUGACAGUUCUUCAGAUAAUAGAGUAUCGGCUUGUGAGCGAUUCAAUGAGUCCUUCUCUGUAUCCGAUUGAGUGGUGGGAGUACGUGAUGGAAUACAUCAAGGAGAUUACUUAUCUCCUUAAUAAUUCAGUGUCUAGUGGAUGUUGGAUCAAGUUUGAUGGGGACAUUAGAUGAAGUUGGAGUCACGCGAGAGAGAAGGUAGGAGAUGGUAAUAAAUGCAGAAGAAGCUUGAAGGUGGAGGAGGCAAACCAACCAUUGUCGCAGUGGUGGUGGAGACGUGGAGGCAAGGUCAAGCAUGGAGGCCGGAGGAGGCAACACGGCUAAGCAUAUUUGUUUUUUAGGUUUAGGUUUAGUGUAAACCGAUAACAAUAGGUUUUUUUCCUGGUUUGAUUGUUUUAUCUCUGAAGUUAAAUCAUUUAUGGAAAUACAGUUAUAAACUUUUCAUGUUUAAUGUAAAAUUUGCAAUUUCA
Brassica oleracea var. oleracea is the source of this 726-nucleotide long non-coding RNA. RefSeq lists it as uncharacterized. NCBI's taxonomy places the organism in Eukaryota, Viridiplantae, Streptophyta, Magnoliopsida, Brassicales, Brassicaceae. The record is from RefSeq and is a predicted model, not a curated record. The transcript has 3 exons.